UUCCGGUUGAUCCUGCCGGACCCGACUGCUAUUUGGGUGAGGAUAAGCCAUGCGAGUUGAAUGGGAAACCUAAAGUUCCCAUGGCAAACUGCUCAGUAACACAUGAUCAACUUACCCUAUAGAGAAAAAUAACCUCGGGAAACUGAGGAUAAUGUUUCAUAGUUGAAUUGGCUUGGAAAAGUUUUUCGACGAAAGGGGUAAAAAAAAUGGUUUUUAUCUGCUAUAGGAUAGGAUCGUGUUCGAUUAUGGUUGUUGGUGAGGUAAUGGCUCACCAAGCCGAUAAUCGAUAGGGGCCGUGAGAGCGGGAGCCCCGAGAUGGGUACUGAGACAACGACCCAGGCCUUACGAGGCGCAGCAGGCGCGAAACCUCCGCAAUACACGAAAGUGUGACGGGGUUACCCAAAGUGUUCAAUUUUGAACUGUGGUAGGUGAGUAAUGUUCCCUACUAGAAAGGAGAGGGCAAGGCUGGUGCCAGCCGCCGCGGUAAAACCAGCUCUUCAAGUGGUCGGGAUAAUUAUUGGGCUUAAAGUGUCCGUAGCCGGUUUAGUAAGUUCCCGGUAAAAUCGGGUAGCUUAACUAUCUAUAUGCUAGGAAUACUACUAUACUAGAGGGCGGGAGAGGUCUGAGGUACUACAGGGGUAGGGGUGAAAUCUUAUAAUCCUUGUUGGACCACCAGUGGCGAAGGCGUCAGACUGGAACGCGCCUGACGGUGAGGGACGAAAGCCAGGGGAGCGAACCGGAUUAGAUACCCGGGUAGUCCUGGCCGUAAACGAUGCAUACUAGGUGAUGGCACGGCCAUGAGCCGUGUCAGUGCCGUAGGGAAACCGUUAAGUGUGCCGCCUGGGAAGUACGGUCGCAAGGCUAAAACUUAAAGGAAUUGGCGGGGGAGCACCACAAGGGGUGAAGCCUGCGGUUCAAUUGGACUCAACGCCGGA
RNAcentral lists this ribosomal RNA (935 nucleotides) under uncultured archaeon. RNAcentral's name for it is "bacterial SSU rRNA". It matches the Rfam family "Archaeal small subunit ribosomal RNA", at positions 1 to 922 of the family's 1478-position model. The record is from RNAcentral.